GGCCAGGGUAAUCCAUCAGAUGGAUUUGAUAUUUUAAAAUACAAUGUGGACAACCUGAUCAGAGUUAAUAGUUGAACUCUAGGGUGUCCUAUGAUCAUUUUGGUCAAGGGGAUGAAUUAUAUGAAAACUAUAUCCGCAUGGGUUCUAAGGAUGUUGUUCUACACAUUCGACCUAUCCGAUCGUCGGGUACCAUUGCUAGAUGGUCCUUCGAUUGGUAUAAAAAUUUGUU
Molecule: long non-coding RNA, 229 nt
Filed under: Elaeis guineensis (African oil palm)
Lineage: Eukaryota; Viridiplantae; Streptophyta; Magnoliopsida; Arecales; Arecaceae
Description: long non-coding RNA (EGUI_LNC051551)
Source: RNAcentral